AUCGCCUGGGGAUCUUGUUAAAAUGUAAGUCUGAUUCAGUGAGUCUGGGAUGGGGCCCAAGAUUCUGCAUUUUUAACAAGUUCCCAGGUGAUGCCAGU
RNAcentral lists this microRNA precursor (98 nucleotides) under Tursiops truncatus (common bottlenose dolphin). RNAcentral describes it as "miRNA (ENSTTRG00000025321.1)". It matches the Rfam family "mir-544 microRNA precursor family". Lineage: Eukaryota; Metazoa; Chordata; Mammalia; Artiodactyla; Delphinidae. The record is from RNAcentral.